GGGGGUAUAGCUCAGCUGGGAGAGCGCUAGAUUCGCAUUUUAGAGGCCAGCGGUUCGAUCCCGCUUACCUCCACCA
This 76-nucleotide transfer RNA is filed under the name Desulfosporosinus sp. Its description in RNAcentral is "tRNA-Ala". It matches the Rfam family "tRNA". From Rfam's summary of the family: Transfer RNA (tRNA) molecules are approximately 80 nucleotides in length. The record is from RNAcentral. RNAcentral also lists the same sequence under 13 other names. Lineage: Bacteria; Bacillati; Bacillota; Clostridia; Eubacteriales; Desulfitobacteriaceae.